Molecule: long non-coding RNA, 976 nt
Organism: Aedes albopictus (Asian tiger mosquito)
Lineage: Eukaryota; Metazoa; Arthropoda; Insecta; Diptera; Culicidae
Exons: 2
Source: RefSeq, a predicted model, not a curated record
AACUACACUGAGAAAAAAUAUAUGGUAAACGAAACUACUCAACCAUGUUUAAUUUUACUAUUCCCCAAAAUAGUAACAAUGACCAAAUAAUCUUUGUUUAUGACCAUGUUUUCAAUAAAGUUACUAUGCUCCGAAAGCAAGCCGCAUGGUAAUAGAUACUAUUAAGUAUAGUCAAUUUAAUUACGCAAUUUGUGUUUCUGGUAACUAUUUUCAUGUUUAUAAGCAGCACGUUCAAUGUUUAGUUGAAACAAGCGUUUUUUUUUAAUAUUUCUGCAAACCAGCAUUAGGCUUGGAAUUUCCAAACAAGAAUAUUUGAUCAUCAGUCGCCUUAUUUAAUUAUUUUAAUUUUUCAAACUUAGUCGUUCAGUCAAUCGGAGGAAUCAUGCAGAUGCAGAACCAAGUGCAGGACUUGCUCUUCAACUAUUUUGGAAGAGUAACCCCAUCGCCACCAACGACACCGAUGUCCGGUGAAUUCAAGUCGGAAAGAGAGCUGAAACCCACUUCAAUAAGGAACAAAUGAGUGCCAAAAGAAAAUGCACAUGAAGUAGGAGAAGGAAGUGGAAAGUUGGAAACGAUGUUAUUCCAUGAGCAGCCGGGAGUUCCACUACCUCCUCCGGUAUCAGCAUAUCGUCCUUGCAGAAGUCAGAAAACCACUUUCGAUUUCGAUGGAGCCACCUCAAAAACCCCUUCAGCGGUACCGGAUGUGACGUCGCCAAAUCGGAAAAGUCGAACCUUUUGCCACGCAACACGACUAUGGAAGUGCAACCCUGCAAUAACUGUUCCGGUCCCAAGAACUGUUUUCCGGCACUUCUUAAAUUCCAGCUUGAUACCAGCCGCCUAGAUACCCGGAUUAAGUCAUCGAUUUCCAACGGAUAUCACCCAGAAACUCAAAGUAAUUUAUUUAUUUUUUGUAUUUUUUUUGUUUAUUGUGAUUUAUGCACUUACAAUAUUUGAAAUAAAUACACAAAUAAGUUAA